GAGGCAAGGAGAGGUGUGCAGAAUUCCGGGUUUAUUGGUGAAUCGCGUAGAUAUCCGGAGGAAUGUCGGUGCCGAAGGCGGCACACUGGUCUUGACCUGACGCUGAGGCACGAAGGCGUGGGGAGCAAACCGGAUUAGAUACCCGGGUAGUCCACGCAGUAAACGAUGUCGGCUCGGUGUAUCGUUGGUGGCAACACCAUGGUGUGCCCAAGCUCACGCGGUAAGCCGACCGCCUGGGGACUACGAGCGCAAGCUUUAAACUCAAAGGAAUUGACGGGGGCCCGCACAAGCAGCGGAGCGUGUGGUUUAAUUCGACGCAACGCGAAGAACCUUACCCAGGUUUGACAUGCAGCUGCAAGCGCACGGAAACGUGUGACCUUCGAGGGUGCUGCACAGGUGCUGCAUGGCUGUCGUCAGCUCGUGUCGUGAGAUGUUGGGUUAAGUCCCGCAACGAGCGCAACCCUUGCCGUCAGUUACAAGUGUCUGGCGGGACAGCCCUCGCUAUGGGGGAGGAAGGCGGGGAUGACGUCAAGUCAGCAUGGCCCUUACGCCUGGGGCGACACACACGCUACAAUGCCGACCACAAUGCGCUGCAACCACGCAAGUGCAAGCUAAUCGCCAAAGGUCGGCUCAGUGCAGAUCGGGGGCUGCAACUCGCCCCCGUGAAGGCGGAGUUGCUAGUAACCGCGUAUCAGCCAUCGCGCGGUGAAUACGUACCCGGGCCUUGUACACACCGCCCGUCACGUCAUGGGAGUUGGUAAUGCCUGAAGUCCGUGGGGUACCUGCGGGAGCCAGCGCCGA
RNAcentral lists this ribosomal RNA (801 nucleotides) under uncultured organism. RNAcentral describes it as "bacterial SSU rRNA". It matches the Rfam family "Bacterial small subunit ribosomal RNA", at positions 644 to 1459 of the family's 1533-position model. The record is from RNAcentral.